UACGUAGGGGGCUAGCGUUGUCCGGAAUCAUUGGGCGUAAAGAGCGUGUAGGCGGCUCGGUAAGUCCGCUGUGAAAGUCCAGGGCUCAACCCUGGAAUGCCAGUGGAAACUGUCGAGCUAGAGUCCGGAAGAGGCGAGUGGAAUUCCUGGUGUAGCGGUGAAAUGCGCAGAUAUCAGGAGGAACACCAAUGGCGAAGGCAGCUCGCUGGGACGGUACUGACGCUGAGACGCGAAAGUGUGGGGAGCGAACAGG
Molecule: ribosomal RNA, 253 nt
Filed under: uncultured bacterium
Lineage: Bacteria
Description: partial 16S ribosomal RNA
Rfam family: Bacterial small subunit ribosomal RNA
Source: RNAcentral